AAGUCGUAACAAGGUUUCCGUAGGUGAACCUGCGGAAGGAUCAUUCUUGAUAUUUUAGCAUAUGCUAUUAAUCAAUUUGUGAACUGUCACUUCCCUUUUGUGGAUCGAAAUGUCUGCAUUAGGACCACAUGGCGAUCGAGAGGUCGUCGUAUAACUAUAACUAAAACUUUGACAACUUUUAGCAAUGGAUCUCUAGGCUCUC
This 202-nucleotide unclassified non-coding RNA is filed under the name fungal sp. Its description in RNAcentral is "partial internal transcribed spacer region". The stretch from base 1 to 46 matches the Rfam family "Eukaryotic small subunit ribosomal RNA", at positions 1786 to 1831 of the family's 1831-position model. The record is from RNAcentral. Lineage: Eukaryota; Fungi.